UAACUUCGGGGAAACCGGAGCUAAUACCGGAUAAUAUUUCGAACCGCAUGGUUCGAUAGUAGAAAGAUGGUUUUGCUAUCACUUAUAGAUGGACCCGCGCCGUAUUAGCUAGUUGGUAAGGUAAACGGCUUACCCAAGGCGACGAUACGUAGCCUACCUGAGAGGGUGAUCGGCCACACUGGAACUGAGACACGGUCCAGACUCCUACGGGAGGCAGCAGUA
This 222-nucleotide ribosomal RNA is filed under the name uncultured Staphylococcus sp. Its description in RNAcentral is "partial 16S ribosomal RNA". It matches the Rfam family "Bacterial small subunit ribosomal RNA", at positions 144 to 355 of the family's 1533-position model. The record is from RNAcentral. Lineage: Bacteria; Bacillati; Bacillota; Bacilli; Caryophanales; Staphylococcaceae.